This 365-nucleotide ribosomal RNA is filed under the name uncultured bacterium. RNAcentral describes it as "bacterial SSU rRNA". It matches the Rfam family "Bacterial small subunit ribosomal RNA", at positions 144 to 507 of the family's 1533-position model. The record is from RNAcentral.
UAACCUUGCGAAAGUAAGACUAAUACCCAAUGAUAUCCCACGAAGGCAUCCGAAUGGGAUUAAAGAUUUAUCGGUGAUGGAUGGGGAUGCGUCUGAUUAGCUUGUUGGCGGGGUAACGGCCCACCAAGGCAACGAUCAGUAGGGGUUCUGAGAGGAAGGUCCCCCACAUUGGAACUGAGACACGGUCCAAACUCCUACGGGAGGCAGCAGUGAGGAAUAUUGGUCAAUGGGCGAGAGCCUGAACCAGCCAAGUAGCGUGCAGGAUGACGGCCCUAUGGGUUGUAAACUGCUUUUAUAAGGGAAUAAAGUGGGUCUCGUGAGACUUUUUGCAUGUACCUUAUGAAUAAGGACCGGCUAAUUCCGUG